Molecule: long non-coding RNA, 4308 nt
Organism: Homo sapiens (human)
Lineage: Eukaryota; Metazoa; Chordata; Mammalia; Primates; Hominidae
Gene: MIR9-3HG
Product: MIR9-3 host gene
Source: Ensembl
AGAGCCCAGAGAAGCGGCGCGCGGCCAGGAGCCCCCGCUCCGCCACUGCCGUGCCUGCCUCCCGCAGCUGUCUGCCAUGCGCUCGCCGGGGCAGGGGCGCCCGGAGGGCGGCUAGAGCUGGGCCUGAGCCCGGGAACGCGCCUGAUCAGGGGUGGCGGAGCCGCGGUCCCCACAGCCGCCCCACCCGCGCCGCUGCCUCGCUGGGGCCCGGGCCCCCUUCCCGGUCCCUGUAUGAGUGCCACAGAGCCGUCAUAAAGCUAGAUAACCGAAAGUAGAAAUGAUUCUCACAACUUCUGCGUGCGAGCGCCCGCCCCACCGACCGCCCCGGCCCGGCCCGCAAGAGCCAGAGGAGCCGAGAGGAGCCCAGCGCCGGCCCAGCGGACUCCAGCUCGACGGAGCGGCCGCGCCCCGACCAGUUACUCCCCUGCUGGUGCCUCCCUCCUUGGCGCGCUUCCCACCUGCGAUCGGCGCCCUCUUCGCAGUCACGAACUCGCCAGCAGCUAGCAGCACUGACUAGUAGGAGGGCCCGCCGGAGGAGAGGAAGCCCCAGAGAGAUUGGUGAGGGUGAUUUCCCAGGAAGACGCAGUGUGCUCUGACUUCUGUGACAGUGAGCAACGGGACCAGUGGAUGUCCAGAUGCUGGCAAUGAGACAUGCUCUGGAGUCAGAAGACAGCGAAAAGAGAAGCAGAAGCCCCGGUGGCAAGAGUCUGAAGCUGGAAAGGAGGAGAACAUGAAACAUUGCUUGAAGACAAUGGCCGAGACAGCAGGUCCCACCCUGCACAGCCACCAGCAUCUCUCCCCUCAGCCCUGUCUCCUCUUCUGCAGUUGGGAUCUGCACAUUUAAGCCUGAAAUUGUCCUGUGAAGUGAAGUAUGAUCGGACAGCCUCUUUUCAGCUUUUAUGACAAUGGAGACAGAGGAAUUGUGGCUCUUGCCAAGGUCACAGGAUUGGAAUACAGAGCCAAGCCACCCCAGGACAUGCAAGAGCCUCAGAAGGGAAAAAAGCCCAGCAGGAAGGGAGAACAAGUAGCCUCUGUCCUGAAGUUGUAACAGCCAGGGGCCAGGAUGGAGGAGGAGGACCCCAUAAUCUGCCCAUCUGGGACUUGGCAGGGGACCUGGGAAAAUGUACCCCAACCCAUCCCUUAAGGGCCUUUGUCUUUGGCCCAUUGGCCUAGCAUCUACUUCUUCACCGUGUCUGUUCUUGUCACACCUAGUCAGGUCUGUUUGGGUCUGAGGUGCAUGGAACAUUCUGGGUAGGCCUCCAGCAAACGGAAGCUCUUCACCGUGUUUCCAGCCUGGGACCAAGGGCAGCAUACUGGCAAAGUUGCCAAAGCAAGGGACUCCAGCCUCUUAGGAGUUAAUGACUCCCUCUCCCCAGCUGUCCUCCCCUUGGUGCUCCUCUUCCUCCCUCCUCCUGCUCACAGCAGGCAGGGCCUAGACCCGGGAGCCAUGCUGCUGUGCUGUUGCCAGGGGAGCACGGAGGCAGAUCUGAGCUAUGCAGGGAAAAGGCCCAGCCUGUCAAAGUGUCUGAGAUGAACCGCCGCCGUCCCUGUGCAGCUGGGCUCAGACGUGUCUCAGCUCUUGUUCUGUGCCUGAGAAUGGCGAAACCCAGUGAGGUUCAAGGGCAAACUCGCUAUUCAUUAGUCAGGGGUUCUUGACGUCCCGUCUCUCCCAGGGAUGAGUUCCCCCCUCCUCUUUCUCCCCCUCCUAUGACACAUUCCUGGGUGCCUUUGGUGAGGACUGCACACCCUCCUCCUGCCUAGCCCCCUCUCCAAAGGCCCCUGAAUAAACUCCCCCCAAGGAGACCAGGCAGGGCAGAGACAAUGGCUGCAGGAAAUCAUUCAGGCGGGACAUGCUGGCCUGCCCUCCACCCAGUCCCCCUGUGGGCCCCACUCCCUUCUGAUUCAGGGCACCCUUGGGCCCCCAGCCUAUACAGGCCUGGACAGGAAGAAACCACUGGGAACCACCCUAAGGACAACAUGCUAGUCCAGUGCCAUUCUUCGCUGGCUCUGUGGGUGCCUUUGUGGCCUGUACCGACUGGCUGGCUAAUUUUGUGGUUUCUGUACCAUCACAUGCCUAUUUUAAGACACUCUCCAGCACUGUCGGUUAGGGAGUGUAAAUUUUGCAAUAUUUUCUGAAAUGUGGCAAUAUCAAAAUGUAAAAGGCACACAUACUUGGUCACAAACAAAUGGCACUAUUUACUCUGUGGGCAUAUUUGUAAAAGUUGCCAAAGAAUUAUAUACAAGGAUGUUCAUCAGAGCAUUUCUUUUGAAGAGUAAAGAAAUGGACAUGAACCUGUGGUCCGUUCAUACGGUGGAAUACCUAUGCAGCUGUAAAAAUCAGUGUGGUAGAUCUCCGUAUAUGAGUUGAUGUGGAAGGUUGGCCAGUUCACAUGAUAAGGUGAAUAGAAUAAGUUACAGAACAGGCUGUAGAGUAUGAUCUUAUUUGUAGAUGUUUAAAACUGAGUCAUAAGUAUGCUUAUAUACAGAUCGUUUCUGGAAGUAUGUACUGGAAGUCUACCUCUGGGGAGUGGGGAUGGGGGAGUGCACUCUUCUAUACUGUUAUAUUUUCUUUUCAUGCUCCUAAGGUACUUUUAUUGGAAGAUGUAAAGCGGUUCAAUGUAAUAGGCUUAACUUCUGUCAACUAAGUUGGCGUGGGUGCUUUAAGAGGGUGGUAGUGAUGUUGCUGGAGAAAGUAUCCCACAGUCACUGGUGGCUUCAGCCACGGGCCAUUUUGGGGCCUAAUAAUCACAUAUCAUCAUGGUUGCUAGUGUUAAUCGAAAACCUACUAAGUGCCAGGCUUACUGUCUCUGGGUCUUGCUUACGUGGAUGUCAUUUUUCCAGUUGCACCAAAUCGAAAGAGGUUAAUUGGUUUGUUGGAGUUCCUUUGUAGGUGAAGGGCAGAGCCAGGAGCUUGGCUAGGGACAGGGGAGGUGAGUGGGGGAUGGUGGAUAGGUCUUGGCUCCCAGUUUCCUUCUGGGCAGACAUUGCCCCUCUGCCCUGAGGACCUGCUUGUUUGGGGGAAGAGGCCUUUAGAGGCACCAGGGUCAUGCCAGGUGUUGGACAUGGUGAACUGGGAAGUGCUCCCAUCUGGCCACAGCGCAGAAGUAUCACCGUGCUGGGGGAUGGGGAACAGGGCUGUGAAUGGGCCUAUUUGCAUAAGCAGCAUGUGUCUGGAGAGAAAGACAUCACAGAGCAGAAGAGUGCGGGUGCCCAGGAGUGCACUUGCCACCCCUACUUCAUCCCUGAAAGAGUAAAUGGCCUGGAAGGUGUCUCUGAGAGGUAAUGCCGCACACCACCCUCCCUGGGGGCAGGGUCAGGCUACACCUGCCUUAGGUCGGGGGCUGCAGCAGCCUGAGAGCUCUCAGUAGGGCCUCAGUAGCCUGGGAGGGAGCAGGGGCAGGGGGCAGGGAAAGAGGCGUAAUGGGGCUGUCCAGAGGGGCCUGGGAAACCUGGUCCCUGAGGCCUGGGCACAGCUACAAUCACUUCAAAUUGGCUGUGGGGCCAGUGGACUGGGAAGGAAAAAAGCAAUAAGAGUGACCAAGUGCAGAAGGCUGUCAGGUCCCAGGUCACAUGCCUUAGUGCAGUGACUCCUCAUCAUUUUAUGGGGUGUGGGUGUCGUUGGUACACCCAUUUUACAGAUGAGGACACCGAGGCCCAGAAAAGUUAAGUUACAUGUCCUAAGUCACACAGCUUGUAAGUGCCAGAACUGAGAUCAAAACCAAGUCUCUUUGACUUUAAAGUCUGUACUCUGACCCCAAAGAGAUCCUGUUUGGCCACUUAUAGGAGGUCCCUAAAGCUGCAGACUCCCCUUGCCGGCACCCACAUAUAGAGACAUUAACCCUUCCCCUGCAGGGUCACCUCAAAUAGUCUUUUAGCUGGGCUUCUCCUGCAAUUCCACCUAAUGCCAUCCCCUGGGUUUUGCCCAAACCUGAACUGGGCAGUGGGGUGAGAGGAGGGGUUUACAGGGUUACAGAGCCUCAUACAGAUAGGAGCCCAUGGCUGCUGGUCAUCUGCAUUCCUGCAGGAUUGGCUGUUCCUUGGGGUCCUUGGCAGGAAAAUGAGGAUUGCUCCGAGGCCUGCUCCAGUACUUCCCAGAGGCUGGCCUGGUGUGGGGCUCUGGGAAGGCUGAGGCUGGAGAAGCGUAAGUAGGAGGGCAGAGAUGGCACUCAGGUAGCUUGAAUCACCAGGACCCUUCCAAGCCCCACAGGUUCUGAGGGAGUACUAGGGCCAGCUCUGGGAGAGGUCUCUUCCUAUGCUGUGAACCCCCUGCCUUUCUUGCAGCCUACAACGAAUAAAUUUUCUUUGCAA